This 486-nucleotide ribosomal RNA is filed under the name uncultured bacterium. RNAcentral's name for it is "partial 16S ribosomal RNA". It matches the Rfam family "Bacterial small subunit ribosomal RNA", at positions 30 to 507 of the family's 1533-position model. The record is from RNAcentral.
AUUGAACGCUGGCGGCAUGCCUUACACAUGCAAGUCGAACGGCAGCGCGGACUUCGGUCUGGCGGCGAGUGGCGAACGGGUGAGUAAUACAUCGGAACGUACCCUGUUGUGGGGGAUAACUAGUCGAAAGAUUAGCUAAUACCGCAUACGGCCUGAGGGUGAAAGUGGGGGACCGGAAACGGCCUCAUGCAGCAGGAGCGGCCGAUGUCUGAUUAGCUAGUUGGUGGGGUAAAGGCCCACCAAGGCGACGAUCAGUAGCUGGUCUGAGAGGACGAUCAGCCACACUGGGACUGAGACACGGCCCAGACUCCUACGGGAGGCAGCAGUGGGGAAUUUUGGACAAUGGGGGCAACCCUGAUCCAGCAAUGCCGCGUGUGUGAAGAAGGCCUUCGGGUUGUAAAGCACUUUUGUCCGGAAAGAAAUCGCGCUGGUUAAUACCUGGCGUGGAUGACGGUACCGGAAGAAUAAGCACCGGCUAACUACGUG